Podarcis raffonei (Aeolian wall lizard) is the source of this 680-nucleotide long non-coding RNA. RefSeq lists it as uncharacterized. The transcript has 2 exons. The record is from RefSeq and is a predicted model, not a curated record. NCBI's taxonomy places the organism in Eukaryota, Metazoa, Chordata, Lepidosauria, Squamata, Lacertidae.
CGCAUUGAUUGUGACAGCCUUUGGCGAGUCGCAUGUAGCCCUUUUCGCCCCAAGUUUCAGACCAGCUGUGGGAGGGUAAGAAGAACAGCCAACUGCCAACAUGCCGUGAUUCAACAUCUGUUCGCAGUCCUUGUGGUGAAAGAUUCCUGAUGGAGGAAGAGUUGCCGGUACUGGUGCAAAACAGUGGUGCAAAACAGAGAAUGACGCGAGUCCCCUCCCUGGCUCGUGCUCAAAUCCCUGGAAAAAGCCCCUCUCUCCCUCAUUGAGUCAAGCUGCUGCAACCAGCUGCCCUCCAUGCUGGUAUCUCAGGACCAGAAGAGGUAUGAAGAGAGAGGAGCAAAGGGAGACACCGCGAAGAAAUCUCAGAUUACUUGGGGAGGAGACGUAGGGAGCCUUAAGUCCUCGCAAGUUCCUCUCCUGCUGGGAAGAGAUGUUGUGCUCACUAGUCCUGAGUUUCUUUGAAUAAAGAGUCAACUUCACUGGCACCUUGUGAGUUAUUGCUGAGCUGAUCCACCAGGACAUUGAAGGGACAGGUUACCCAAACCUGACUGUGUAGUCACCCCAAUUAGGCCCCAAAACUUCCCAAAUUCUUUCUUUGAGGAGUAAUUAGCUAAAACGCAUUAGCUUGAGCUGUAUAACACAAACCAGCUGAAUAAACAAAGCCUUCUCCUUUAUCAGUC